UACGGGGGGGGCAAGCGUUGUUCGGAAUUACUGGGCGUAAAGCGAGCGUAGGCGGUUAUUUAAGUCGGGUGUGAAAGCCCCGGGCUCAACCUGGGAAUUGCAUUCGAUACUGGAUAGCUAGAGUUCGGCAGAGGUAAGCGGAAUUUCCGGUGUAGCGGUGAAAUGCGUAGAUAUCGGAAGGAACAUCAGUGGCGAAAGCGGCUUCCUGGACCAGAACUGACGAUCAGGCUCGAAAGCGUGGGGAGCAAACAGG
Molecule: ribosomal RNA, 253 nt
Filed under: uncultured bacterium
Lineage: Bacteria
Description: partial 16S ribosomal RNA
Rfam family: Bacterial small subunit ribosomal RNA
Source: RNAcentral